AUAUAGUUGCCUUAGGGCCUUAGGAUGAUUAUGAACCUUUGUUUAGAUUCAACACGAGCCUUGUGUUGAAUCUUGGUCUAGGGAUGGUGAUUGAUUUUAGUUACGCGUUUAAUCACAUUAAGGCGUGUUGUCUUAGGGGCGUUGGACCCAACUACUUCAUUUUCAUGCAUAUCAAAUAAAGCAAGAAAGAAGUACUUCAAAGUAAAGGUGAGCUUAUGCUCAUUACAACAUUUGCAUAUAACAAAUUACUUUAAAGUAAAGAAGAGCUUAAGCCCUUUUACAACAUUUGAUCAAAUCAAAUUACAACCAAAAUCUAAUCUACACAUUCCCAUGGUUCAAAACAAAUUUGAAACGGCCUUUCACAUAGCUCAAUUAUAUUAGGCUUAGGUUCAUAAUCACCCUUUAAUUAAUUAACACUUUAACUAAUUAAAUUGAAUGCAACAUUUUCAUUUGGUUUUUGUAUCCAUAAAAUUGAUUUAAAUGGAGCUAAACAAAAUGAAAAUCCAAUUCUCAUUUAAAGAGACAAAACAAUUUUGUUCUCUACCUAAUUUGGGCCAAUAUGCAAUAACCACAACUUUUGGGCCAUAAAGCAAUUAACCUCAACUUUUGGGCUAUAUUGCAAAACUUUUGGGUUCACUUUGUAAAGACACAAAAGUCCACUACUUCAUGUAAUUACAAUAGAACCCAAAAUUUAAUCAAUGCAAAAACUUCAUUAAAGGAUCAAAACAAUUUGUCCUUUAGCGUUUUUGGACCUUAACGUAAAAACGUAAACUUUUGGGCCAAAGUGCAAAUACACAAAAGUAUCAAAACUUUAUGUAAUUGCAUAAAAGACCCAAAAGUACUCCCAUUGAGGGAGGGCCGGUUUUUAGAGAGGGAAAGGGAGUGGAGAUAAGUCCACAAAAAUUUGGAAAUUUUUUCAACAAUUUCAUAAAGCCUUGUAAGUGGUUUUUGGUUGGUGUAAAUCAUAAAACCAUGCAUGUGGUGUGUAAGGUGUGUAAGGUGUGUAAGUCUUACACACCCAUCACAAUUUCUAUCACCUUUCAAAAAUAUAAAUGUUUUGAUGAUAGAUAUUUCACACCAAUCAACACAAAACAAAGACUUUAUGAAAUUAAUCAAAACUUUGAAUCAAAACACCAAAUUUUUUGUUCUUGGCAAAAAUGUCAAGAACAAUGAAGAACAUUCAUGAAAAACACAAAAUUUUUUCAUGAACUUUUUUCACCCAAAAACAUCCCAAAACCAUUCAAACUUUAGGGAAAUAACAUCUAACCAAACUAGGGUACAUUGGGGUUCCAAAAGUCACUUGAAAAUACUUUUAACAAGUCAAACAAGAACCCAAAAAUCCACCCUUUGGAUUUGGCCGAAAAUCCCCAAAGUCAUGGCACUAAAUUUUAGCUCCAAUAUUCAUGCUCAUAUGAACUACAUCUACAACAUUUGAGAUGGCAAAUUUUCUAACAAAAUUUACAUUCAAAGAAACAAGAAUAAAGCUUGUAACAUAUUACAACUUUUAAAUCACAAACUAUGAACUACAAAACCCAAAAGGAUUCACCAACUACUAGACCUAGGCUCUGAUACCACUUGAAGGAAUAUUUUGUGAAAACAUGUUCAUUUAAGCAACAUCAAUAAGCAUGCAAUUAACAAUUAAAGGCGGAAUCAUGCUUGCAUGCACUUAAAAACAAAACAUUAACCAUGAAAUUCAAAGCCUAGUAGAUUGGUGAACCAAAACUCAACUCAAAACAAAGUGAGUUGAAAUUGUACCUUUCUAGAUUCCUCUUUGCAUAAGCAAAGGCUAAUCACCCAAAGAGAGGGCCUUCAUUCCUUGCAUCUAAAAUCUAUGGAUUUGGAUGGAUGAAUAGGUUUCUCCAAGUUCCCAAAAUAGGGAACCUCUAAGUCUCUUCACCAAGGAGAGAUUGGAGAAGAUAUGAGUGACCUUGGAGUAGUAGGAUUGCUAGAUGUACCCUCCAAGGUGACCUUCCUCCUAGAGAGAAAAGGAGAGACAUGUUCUCACCAAUUUUCUCCAAAAAGAAGCCUUAAUGAAUUUUUAGCUAUAAAGUCCUUUAUAUAGUCUCUUCAAAUAAGUGACCUAAAGAACCAAAACCAAUUUUCUCCUUCAUGGCCGGCCACCUAAAGGGAUUUGGGCUUUUGGGCCUUUUUGAAUCUUUAUUCAUUAAAUUGUCAUACAACUUAAGUUAAUGGGCUUGACGUUCAAAGCCCAUUGGGCCUUAAGGUCCAAAACUAUCCCGAGGUUUUUAACGAACUUAUUCGUUUGAUUAAUUAACAUAUUAAUUAAUCCUUGCCAUAAAUAAAUGAUUAAACCAUUUAAUCAUUCUUACUCAUCUCCGUUUAAUCUCCAAUCUCCACCUCUUAUGGUGUGCGAUCCAUUAGGUUCCUUUUAGCGAGGCAGUGGGCGAUUAAAACCAUUUUACAUCGAUUGUGAAUUGAAAUUUACUUUCAAUUCUCCCUUUAGUGAUUACACACGUUUAGGGCUUCCACAAACCAUGAGUGACACCUAGCAGCAUAUCAUGGUUACCCAAGCUAAUCAGAAGAGGUUAGAGAACCUAUUCAGUUUGGGAUUACAAAUGCAAUACGGUCUUUCUCUAAUCUAAUACUCUUGACCACAUUGUUUGGUUUGAUAGUUUAUAUGUUCAUGUCUACUAUCCAAUGUGAUUCGUGUGCUUAUAUGAUUUCCUUGAAUGUGAUUUUUAGAACGACUUUUCUAAAUCUCAUUCAUACUCUGGCCAGAGAUUCUAAAUCAUAUCAUAGAGUAUUCUCCCUCAAACAGUUUGAAGGUUAGAGAUCCCUUGUUGCGCAUUCACUUGCCUCCAUGGCUAAGUGGCUUAACCCCAACGAUGCCGUGGACACCCUCCUGAUGGAGUGACUUUGACAUAAUCAAAGAUCAAGGACUUAACCACAAGACAACUAUGAUGCCUCAGGUCAAAGGACUACUUUGCAUUAUCCCAACCAUGAGUUCUCAUGUGACAUGAGUAUGAGAACUCUUCGUCGAUCACGUUCAGUGAACUCAUUCUCUAUUGAGCACCUACGUACUUGUCUUGAUGUCACACACACCAAUGACUCGAGACUAGUCACUCUCCCUGAGAGAAGACAUAGCACGUACCGAUCUUGACGGACUGUCAAUGCCCAAUUGGCAAUCCUAUGAUCAGGAACAUUUAGGAUGUGUCUACGAAAGAAUGGUCUCACGAAUCUAACUUCAUUAGAUUACAUUCUCCCAAUCACAUAUUCCUUGGACUUUAUCGUUUAAGCAUAUAACAUUUAUAUGAGACGGCUCAAACAAUAAUCUUUGCCCUUUAUAUUAAACUAGAUUAGUUUAACAUGUGAAAUGUACGUAAAGUAUCAUCAUAUGAUUGGCUUUAGGGCACAUUUCCAACACACACCAAGCAAGAACAAAAAUGAGAUGGUUGCUAAGAAGAUAUGGCUACUUCUGGCCUAAUGUGGAGAAAGGUUGUAAGGCUUAUGCUAGGAGAUGUCAAGAAUGCCAAAGACUUGGUCCUCUUCAACAUAUACCAUCAGUGCCUUUAAAUCCAGUUGUAAAACUAUGGCCUUUUGGGAGCUCACUGGCUUUUGGUUCUAUCGGAACUCCAAAGUUAAGCAAGUUCACGCGGGAGCAACCCCAUGAUGGGUGACCCACUGGGAAGUUCUCAUGUGAGUUCCCAGAAACAAAAUCAUGAUGGCGUGGUUGGGGCCUAAAGUGUACAAUAUCGUGCUACAGCGGAGUCAAGCCCAGGAUGUGUUGCAGGCCUAGGCCGGGAUGUGACAAUAAGGUAUAGAAAGGUGGUACGAGUGAAAUCAUCAACAAAUGUGAAAGACAUUUAUGACCAUGCAUUGAUUCAAUUCUUGGUCCCCAAACAUCAGUGUGUACCAUCUUUCUAUAAAUGUCGAAUGGUAGUCUGAAUGACUUUGAAAAAUGACAUGGGAAAUAGCUUUGACAAAACAAGUUCCUAUGGGUGAGCAAGUCUUAGGUGCCACAAUUGUUGAUGUUCAAAAUACUUGAGUUCGGCUUGAAAGGCUCUAGGCAUGACUGAUUUUUUGCACAGGUAGUAGAGACCAUUAAGAAGGAACCCUUCACCAAUCACCUUCAUGGUGAUGAUAUCCUGAAAAAUAACUUUGUUUGGUGAGAAAAUGGCAUGGCAUUUUAGGGAGUUUGUAAUCUUUCCUACUGAAAGUAAUUGGAAAGGAAAUAAGGGAACAUGGAGUGCUAAUGACUAUUUGUGAAUAUACUAGCUCUUCCCUUACCCAAAACUGACAUGUUUUUUCCAUUUGCAACCGACACUAGUGAGGGUUUUUUGAAUGCUUGAAAAUCAUGCAAAUUUGAAAGUUUGUUUGUCAUGUGGUCAGUGGCACCAGAGUCAACAAUCUAACAAUCAUAUUCAGUACUUGUUUGUAAUGUAGUGGAGAAGACAUUGAGUAUACUUGAGGCAUCUUCAUGUGUUGCAGAUUUGUUAUUUGGAAGGAAUCUUGCAAGUACGCAACAAAUUCGUUUAUGAGAGUCACAGGACUUGCAAUGAAGUCGAUGGAUCCAAGAAAGACCCCAGAAGUGAAGUUUGCUGCAUGUUGACUCUUGAAGUGGCGUGCCGGUGAAGAUUUUGAUGGAAUCAUCUUCCCUUCUUUGGUGAAUAUAGACUUCAACUCGGGAAGAAGAAUCCAGUACUUUUCUUCCACAUGACCAACACUAUCACAGUAAGUAAAGUUGAGAUAGGUAUUCUUACCCCUGCAUAUUUUUUGGUUUGUAGCAUAGACUCGAGCUUUAAUUGGCCUUGAGCUGGUCUUACCAUGCAUAGUUUUCUUUCUAGCUUCUUCACGUUGGACAGUAGCACACACACUUUUGAAGGUUGGCAGUUCUUGGCUCAUAAGUAUGUGGCUUAUGAGAUCCUCAUACUCAAAACUUAAGCUUCCCAAAAGUUGGUAUAUCUUGUCUUCCUCACCUUUCUUUAGUAGGAUACUUACAUCUGUGAUGUGUGGAAGAUACACAUCUAGUUCAUUCCACAUAGUUUUGAGGCUGCCAAGAUGUUGUACAAAAGACUUCCCUUCUCCUUGAAUGCUUGCAAUGUCUUUCAUCAAUUGAAACACUCUUGCAUAGUUGUUUUGAUUUCCAUACUUGUCCUUCACCGAGUUCCACAAAUCUCGUGAAGACUCCAUGUAACUGAAAAAUUUUGUGACAUGCUACUUCAUAGUAUUGAGAAGUCAGGACAUGAUGAGUUGAUCCUUGCAGAGCCAAGCCUCAUAAGUUGGUGAGGUGAUUUCAGGAGCUUCGAUGCUUCCAUUUACAAAGCCAAGCUUUCCUUUCCCUCCUAGGGCAAGUGAAACUGCACAAGACCAAGGUAGGUAAUUAAACUCAUUCAGCAAGGCUGAACAUAAACGUUGAUUUGUGUUAACCUUAAUGUCUGAGAAAUUUGAAGGAGAGGUAUGAGAGAUGUCACCCUCAAUAUUUACUGAAUCUUCUUCACCCAUGGCUUAAGGUUGAAGAAGAGAUGCAGCGGAAAAACUAGCUAGAGGCAGGUUACAAAACCUGCUCAGAUACCAUGUUGAUGAAGGAAAUUUUGUGAAAAACAUGUUCAUUUGAGCAACAUCUAUUGCAUGCAAUUAACAUUUAAAGGCGGAAUCAUGCUUGUAUGCACUCAAAAACAAAACAUUACCCAUGAAAUUCAAAGCCUAGUAGAAAGGUGAACCAAGACUCAACUCAAGAACAUAGUGAGUUGAGAUAUUUUAUACCUUUGUUAAUUCCUCUUUGCAUAAGCAAAGGCUAAUCACCCAAGGAGAGGGCCUUCAUUCCUUGCUUCUUAGUUCCAUCGAUUUCUUGGAGGAGGAUUGUAGAAAGGAUUCUCCAAGUUCCCAAAAUUGAGAACCUCUAAUUUUUCCACACCAAGGAGGGACUUGAAGAAGAGAUGAGUGACCUUGGAGGAUGAAAGAUUGCUAGCUAAUCUCCUCCAAGGGGGCCGGCCUCUUUGAGAGAAAGGGAGAGACAUGUUCUCUCCAAUUUUCUCCAAAAGAAACCCUAAGGAUGAAAUGGCUAUAAAGUUGCCUUUAUACCACCUCGCAAUGGAGUGGCAAACUUGCAAUUAAGCCAAGUUCACUACCCCUCUCUAUAUGGCCGGUUUUCCCAAGGCUUUGGGCUUCUUGAAUUUUGUUUGUUAAGUUGUCAUACAACUUAAGCUAAUGGGCUUGACGAUUUGAAGCCCAAUUUGGGCUUUAAGGCCCAAAACUAACUCAAGGUUUAAAACAAACUUAUUCGUUUGAUUAAUUAACAUAUUAAUUAAUUCUUGCCAUAAACAAUUAAACCAUUUAAAUUUCCUUACUCAUCUCUGUUGUUUCUUCAAUCUCUACCUUACACGGUGUACGAUCCAUUAGGUUCCUUUUAGCGAGACAUUGGGCGAUUAGAACUCUUUAGAGAGAAAGGAGAGCUUUGUGUUCUCUCCAAUUUCCUCAAAAAAAACCCUUAAUGAAUUUUGGCUAUAAAGUCAUAUUUAUACCUUUAUUCAUUGGAGUGGCAAACUUGACGUUCAAAGCCCAUUGGGCCUUAAGGUCCAAUACUAUCCCGAGGUCUUUAACGAACUUAUUCGUUUGAUUAAUUAACAUAUUAAUUAAUCCUUGCCAUAAAUAAUUAAACCAUUUAAUUAUUCUUACUCAUCUCCGUUGUUUCUUCAAUCUCUACCUUACACGGUGUACGAUCCAUUAGGUUCCUUUUAGCGAGGCAGUGGGCGAUUAAAACUCUUUCCAAUCGAUUGUGAAUUGAAACUUACUUUCAAUUCUCCCUUUGGUGUUUAUACACAUUUAGGGCUUCCACAAACCAUGAGUGACACCUAGUAGCAUAUCAUGGUUACCCAAGCUAAUCAGAAGAGGUGGAGAACCUAUUCAGUUUAGGAUUACAAUGCAAUACGAUCUUUCUCUAAUACAAUACUGUUGACCACAUUGUUUGGUUUGAUAGUUUAUUCAUGUCUACUAUCCAAUGUGAUUCAUUUACUUAUAUGAUUAUCUUGAAUGUGAUUUGGAACGACUUCCUAAAUCUCAUUCAUACUCUGGCUAGAGAUUCUUAAUCAUAUCAUAGAGUAUUCUCCCUCAAACGGUUUGAAGGUUAGAGAUCCCUUGUUGUGCAUUCACUUGCCUCCAUGGCUAAGUGGCCUAACCCCAACUAUGCCAUGGACACCCGCGAAUGGAGUGACUUUGACAUAAUCAAAUAUCAAGGACCUAACCACAAGACAACUAUGAUGCCUCAGGUCAAAGGACUACUUUGCAUUAUCCCAACCAUGAGUUCUCAUGUGACAUGAGUAUGAGAACUCUUCGUUGAUCGUGUUCAGUGAACUCAUUCGCUAUUGAGCACCUACAUGCUUGUCUUGGUGUCAAUCACACCAAUGGCUCGAGACCAGUCACUCUCCAUGAGAGAAGACACAGAACGUACUGAUCUUAACGGACUGUCAAUGCCCAAUUGGCAAUCCUAUGAUCAGGAACGUUUAGGAUAUGUAUACGAAAGAGAAUGGUCUCAUAAAUCUAACUUGUUUAAAUUACAUUCUCCUAAUUACAUAUUCCUUGGACUUAUCGUUUAAGCAUAUAACAUUUAUAUGAGACGGCUUAAAACAAUAAUCUUUGCCCUUGAUAUUAAACUAGAUUAGUUUAACAUGUGAAAUGUCAGUAAAGUAUCAUCACAUGAUUGGUUUUAGGGCACAUUUCCAACAAUCUCCCACUUGCACUAAAGCCAAUCAGCUUGGUCAUCAGUGAUGAUACCUCUUCUUUAGUCAUUUCAAAAAUGGCUGAGUAGUAGGCCUAGACAAUGGAUAUCUAUAUGUUAUCCAUAGAAGCAACCUUGAGAAUAACGACGUCACCAUUAUACAUGAUUCUUAAUCAUGUGGUUUAGUCUCUCAUUUGAGUUCAGACCUUGAUGAGACCUUGAUUCCCUGGCUUGAGCUAUCGCCCCAUUAGUGUCAUAGUGUCAGUACACUAGAGACACUUUCUGGUUGGAACCGAAUAGAGAGUUCAUAAGUGAACUUUCCCAUCCAAACAACAUUGUUGUAAGCUUCUAUAUGGCAAUAUAUUUUGCUUUCAUAAUGGAACACACUAAAGUCAUUACUUUUAAUGUUUCCAUCCAAAUAUCUCUUUAGUCAUAAUAAAGAGAUAUUUGUUUAUCUCUUUAUUCAUAAUGAAGAAACAUCCAAUGAUGGAUUAGAUUCAUAAUCUAAUACAUUUACGCUUCCACUACGUUACUCCAAUUCUUCCUCAAAUAUUAAGGAAUCUAUCCUUUAGUAUUUUUUAAAUACUUAAGGACUCACUUGACAGUUGCCAUGGUUCUGAUCCUGGGCUUGCACUGAUAUCAUCUUGUACCUUUCUAGGUACAACUUAUAUCAAUGUUUUUCAUACAAUAUGAAAUACAUAAAUCACCUUUCUGCGUAUGCAUAAAGGAUUCUAUUCACGCAUUAUUUCUUUGGGAGUCAAAGGGUACGUUCCCUUUGAGAAGAGCUACCUCCUAGUCUCACUAGAGUUGUUCUUCUGAUCGAAGUUUAUUAUCAUAUGAGAAACUUCCUAGCAUCUUUUGUCUAUUAUUAGGGCUUGAUAUAAUCCAAUUAUAUCUUGAAAUCUAUCAUUAUAGAUUUCCAUCCCAUGUAUAUAGACUAUAUCUCCCAUAUACCUUCUAUCGUUAUAGAAUGUUUAAAUUCAUAACUUUAACGAAGAAGUAUUCUUUUCAUUUCCAAAAUUAAUAUAUCAUAUAUAUAUAUAUAUAUAUUCAAAUUUAGGAAUAUGAUUAACUCCCACUAAUCUUUUGUAAACCUAGUAAACAAAAGUCAUUUACAUUUUUAUGAGAAAUCAAACGAUUUGAUCUUUCUCUCAUAAGACGCUUAUAGCUCCCACUAGCUUGCUAAGAUCCAUGAUGGAUGGAUCUCUACAACUUACAUGUCUUGUGAUUCAUAGUUUUAGACAUAUAUUAUCAAGACUAUCUUAAAAAUGGUUUCGGAAACCCAUAUUAUGUCCAAACAUUGAAUCACCAUUUAGUUGUAGUUAGCAAUCUUCGAAUUAAUUGAAAACAAGACUACGUCAAAGAUGGUUUCUUCAAAGUCAACCAAUCUUAUUGAUUGUAGUCACCUUAAGUUACCAAUUAGCUAUGAAGGUUUCAUUAUUUCGGGUCAAAUGGUACUUUACCAUUUCCUUGAGUAUAUGUCGUAUAUAUACUCAAUGUAGUCAUAAGGAUUUUCAUUCUUAUUUCUUUCGAAUUAAGAGGUGCAACUCUAUGACAUAGUCAUAAGGUUCAAACCAUACAAAGACGGUUUACAAAUCCUUCUCGACUACUUUGGAGCUUGUGGUAUAGGAACUAGGUUGUUAUAUUUGUUGAUUACUAUCUUGUCUCUCAAAGAACCCAUUCUUUGAGUUCUAUCUCUCGUUCAUUUGCGCUUGGGCAAAUCAUAUUGUAGGAUUACAAUGAACUACCCAACAAAACAACAUUUGUUAGUUGGUUUAUAGAAGCGAUAUCCAAAAGUUAAUUUAAGGAUAUCCCACAAGAGUGUUAUCAAACAAAUAUUGCUUAUAAGCACACAACCCCAAAUCUUAACAUGCUUAAGAUUUGUCUUUCUUUCCAACUACAUCUUAUGGAGUCAUGAAAAUUUUGGAAGAUCUUCUAAUUGACAAUCAUAUUGUUUUAGAAGUAUAUAUCCUAUAUAUGGAUAAAAGAUAACAUCCAACGAACUAAAUCUUAUUCAAGUUCAUUCUUCUCCUAAUGGAGAAAUUCAUUAUCUUAUGAUGCUAUUUUCCUUGAUAUCUUUCAAGGAAACUCAUCUAAGGAGGUGAAUACUUUAGACGUCUUACUCAUCAACUUACUUUUCUUGAAUUCUUUGAAACCUUUUGCAAAGUAUUCGGACUUGUGUUUAUUCAAAAUAAAUGACAGUCCAACCGAGAGCGAUCUUCGGUGAAUGUCAUCCAACAUGAGUAGUAUUAUGUUGUGGACAAGUGCCACUAACAUCUAAGUGAAUUAACCUCAACAACUUUGUGAGUCUUUCUUCUUUCAAAAGAAUAAAGAUUCGAACAUUUCGCCUCUAUACAAUUUUAACAAGAAGGUAUUGGAUCCGGAUCUAACGAUCCAAAGCAUCCAUGUACACUCAAAACAAAACAUUACCCAUGAAAUUCAAAGCCUAGUAGUUUGGUGAACCAAGACUCAACUCAAAUCAAAGUGAGUUGAGAAAUUUAUACCUUUGUAGAUUCCUCUUUGCAUAAGCAAAGGCUAAUCACCCAAGGAGAGGGCCUUCAUUCCUUGCUUCUUAGAUCCAUGGAUUUGGAUGGAAGAAUAUGUUUCUCCAAGUUCUAAAAAUAGAGAACCUCUAAGUCUCCACACCAAGGUAAGAUGUGAAGAAGAGAUGAGUGACCUUGGAGGAGAAAGAUUACUAGCUAAUCCCUCCAAGGGUGGCCGGCCUCUCUUAGAGAGAAAGGAGAGCUUUGUGUUCUCUCCAAUUUCCUCAAAAAAAACCCUUAAUGAAUUUUGGCUAUAAAGUCAUAUUUAUACCUUUAUUCAUUGGAGUGGCAAACUUGUAAUUAAAGCAAGUUCACUACCCUUCCUCUAAAUGGCCGGCCUUAGGGUAUUAUUGGGCUAUUUGGGCCUUUGUGAAUCAUUAUUCAUUAAGUUGUCAUACAAUUUAAGUCAAUGGACUUGAUGUUCAAAGCCCAUUGGGCCUUAAGGUCCAAUACUAUCCCGAGGUCUUUAACGAACUUAUUCGUUUGAUUAAUUAACAUAUUAAUUAAUCCUUGCCAUCAAUAAUUAAACCAUUUAAUUAUUCUUACUCAUCUCCGUUGUUUCUUCAAUCUUUACCUUACACGGUGUAUGAUCCAUUAGGUUCCUUUUAGCGAGGCAGUGGGAGAUUAAAACUCUUUCAAAUCGAUUGUGAAUUGAAACUUACUUUCAAUUCUCCCCUUGGUGUUUAUACACGUUUAGGGCUUCCACAAACCAUGAGUGACACCUAGUAGCAUAUCAUGGUUACACAAGCUAAUCAGAAGAGGUGGAGAACCUAUUCAGUUUAGGAUUACAAUGCAAUACGGUCUUUCUCUAAUACAAUACUCUUGACCACAUUGUUUGGUUUGAUAGUUUAUUCAUGUCUACUAUCCAAUGUGAUUCAUUUACUUAUAUGAUUAUCUUGAAUGUGAUUUGGAACGACUUCCUAAAUCUCAUUCAUACUCUGGCCAGAGAUUCUUAAUCAUAUCAUAGAGUAUUCUCCCUCAAACGGUUUGAAGGUUAGAGAUCCCUUGUUGCGCAUUCACUUGCCUCCAUGGCUAAGUGGCUUAACCCCAACUAUGCCGUGGACACCCGCGAAUGGAGUGACUUUGACAUAAUCAAAGAUCAAGGACCUAACCACAAGACAACUAUGAUGCCUCAGAUCAAAGGACUACUUUGCAUUAUCCCAACCAUGAGUUCUCAUGUGACAUGAGUAUGAGAACUCUUCGUUGAUCGUGUUCAGUGAACUCAUUCGCUAUUGAGCACCUACAUGCUUGUCUUGGUGUCAAUCACACCAAUGGCUCGAGACCAGUCACUCUCCAUGAGAGCAGACACAACACGUACUUAUCUUAACGGACUGUGAAUGCCCAAUUGGCAAUCCUAUGAUCAGGAACGUUUAGGAUAUGUAUACGAAAGAGAAAGGUCUCAUAAAUCUAACUUGUUUAAAUUACAUUCUCCUAAUUACAUAUUCCUUGGACUUAUCGUUUAAGCAUAUAACAUUUAUAUGAGACGGCUUAAAAAAACAAUAAUCUUUGCCCUUGAUAUUAAACUAGAUUAGUUUAACAUGUGAAAUGUCAGUAAAGUAUCAUCACAUGAUUGGUUUUAGGGCACAUUUCCAACAAAUGGAACACACUAAAGUCCUUACCUUUAAUGUUUCCAUCCAAAUAUCUCUUUAGUCAUAAUAAAGAGAUAUCUGAUUAUCUCUUCAUUCAAAAUGAAGAAACAUCCAAUGAUGGAUUAGAUUCAUAAUCUAAUACAUUUACGCUUCCAUUACGUUACUCUAAUUCUUCCUUAUUCUUGAGGAAUCCAUCCUUUAUUAUUUCUCAAAUACUUAAGGAUUCACUUGACAGUUGCCAUGGUUCUGAUCCUGGGCUUGCAUUGAUACCGAUCUUGGUACAACUCAUAUCAACGUUUCAUACAAUAUGAAAUACAUAAAUCACCUUUUUGCGUAUACAUAAAGGAUUCUAUUUACGCAUUAUUCCUUUGGGAGUCAAAGGGUACGUUCCGUUUGAGAAGAGUUACCUCCUAGUCUCACUAGAGUUAUUCUUCUAAUUGAAGUUUAUCAUCAUAUGAGAAACUUCCUAGCAUCUUUUGUCUAUCAUUAGGGCUUGAUAUCAUCCAAUUAUAUCCUGAAAUCAAUCAUUAUAGAUUUCCAUCCCAUGUUUAUAGACUAUGUCUCCCAUAUACAUUCCAUCAUUAUAGAAUGUUUAAAGUCAUAACUUUAACGAAGAAGUAUUCUUUUCUUUUUAUUUCCAAAAUUAAUAUAUCAUAUAUAUGUUAAAUUUUUAGGAACAUGAUUAACUCCCACUAAUCUUUUGUAAACCUAGUAAACAAAAGAUUCAUAUACAUCUUUAUGAGAAAUCAAUUGAUUUGAUCUUUCUCUCAUAAGACGCUUAUAGCUCCCACUAGCUUGCUAAGAUCCAUGAUGGAUGGAUCUCUACAACAUACAUGUCUUGUUAUUCAUAGUUUUAGACAUAUAUUAUCAAGACUAUCUUAAUAAUGGUUUCGGAAACCCAUAUUAUGUCCAAACAUUGAAUCACCAUUUAGUUGUAGCUAGCAAUCUUCGAAUUAAUUGAAACCAAGACUACGUCAAAGAUGGUUUCUUCCAAGUCAACCAUUCUCUUUGAUUGUAGUCACCUUAAGCUAACAAUUAGCUAUGAAGGUUUCAUUAUUUCGGGUCAAAUGGUACUUUACCAUUUCCUUGAGUAUAUGUCGUAUAUACACUCAAUGUAGUCAUAAGGAUUUUCAUUCUUAUUUGUUUUCGAAUUAAGAGGUGUAACUCUAUGACAUAGUCAUAAAAGUUCAAACCAUUGAACUGAGACAGUUUAUAAAUCCUUCUUGACUACCUUGGAGCUUGUGGUGUAGGAACUAGGUUGUUAUAUUUGUUGAUUAUCAUCUUGUCGCUCAAAGAACCCAUUCUUUGAGUUCUAUCUCUCGUUCAUUUGCGCUUAGGCAAAUCAUAUUGUAGGAUUACAAUGAACUACCCAACAAAACAACAUUUGUUAGUUGGUUUAUAGAAGUGAUACCCAAAGGUUAAUUUAAGGAUAUCCACAAGAUAAUUCUCAAACAAAUAUUGCUUAUUAGCACACAACCUCAAAUCUUAACAUGAUUAAGAUUUGUCUUUCUUUUCAACUACAUCCUAUGGAGUCAUGAAAAUUUUGGAAGAUCUUCUAAUUGACAAUAAUAUUGUCUUAGAAGUAUAUAUCCUAUAUAUAUGGGUAAUUGAUAACAUCCAACGAACUAAAUCUUGUUUGAGUUCGUUCUUCUCUUAAUGAAGAAAUCCAUUAUCAUAUAUGAUGCUUCUUUCCUUGAUAUCUUUCAUGGAAACUGUUCUAAAGUGUUACCUUUCCUUGGAUCAAAUCUAAGGAGGUAAAUACUUUAGACAUCUUACUCAUCUACUUACAUUUCUUGAAUUCUUUGAAACCUUUUGCAAAAUAUUUGGACUUGUGUUUAUUCAAAAUAAAGGAUAGUCCAACCGGCAGCGAUCUUCGGUGAAUGUCAUACAACAUGAGUAGUAUUAUGUUGUGGGCAAGUACCACUAACAUCUAAGUGAAUUAACCUCAACAACUUUGUGAUUCUUUCUUCCUUUCCAAAAGAAUAAAGAUUCAAACACUUUGCCUCUAUACAAUUUUAACAAGAAGGCAUUGGAUCCGGAUCUAACGAUCCAAAGCAUCCAUCUAUGACCAACUCUUAAUUUAUGUUUUAGAGGUAUCACAACUCAGUUGGGAUUAGUCACUACCUUGCAACCUUUUGGGUUUUAAAUAUUGUUAUAUUCUAAACAGUUAAUACUACCAUAUCAUCUCUACUAUAGAGAUAAUCAAUUAGAUUACAAUAAUCUAAUCAUUCAUUAAUAAAAAACAAUGUUUUGUCAAACAAAACAUUCAUCCAUUUCUCAUACGGAAUUAUGUUCCUUUAUUCAAAUUGGAAUGUAAAGACAAUCUUUGUUUUUCCAUUUUCUUUGGUAGUUCAUAUGAGGAAGUAAGUACUACCUGCUUUCGCAGAGAUCUACAUUUGAUUCACGUUCCGAAUGUGAAGUACUUUCUCUUCUCUCAUUAAUCUUCUACUUCUUAUUAGCCACACUUUUACAACGAUUGUAAAACAUAGUUACUAAUACGGAAUCAAGCAUUCAAGUAGAAGAACCAACUGUUUUGAACUAUUCAAGAACAAUUUACAACACCUUCGAAAGGUGUGUUCUUGGACACUUGCAAGACAUUUCUUGCAAAUACCCCUUCCAAUGUCCAUCCUUUCAUAAAGAAAGUUUGUUCCCUUGGAGUUAUUUCCCUUUCUUCAUUUGACUUCUCCUUUGACUACAAAAGUCAUGGUCCCUAAACUCCCACUUUCUCUCUUGAAACUUAUUUCAAUUGUGUGUUAUACACAUCAAACGAUUUGGAGAGCGUGUGGUUAUUGUUCACUAUAUAGUUUACAAUAAACUUAGUGAGCCAUUUGGAUAGGGACACAAAAGUGAAGUCCUUGCGUAGUUUCCAUCUCGUGAAGUGGUUUAACACUUCAACACUCAAUGAUUCAAAAUCAUCAUAAGUCCAUGUUGAUGGACUAUUUUUGUCAACUAACCAUUAUGUUCUAAACAUAAUUACAAACUUUCAAGAGUUGUUCAAGGCAACUCUCAUUUCUUCAUACAACAAUUUGUAAGUGAAGAAUCAUGGCACAUAAAGUGUCCAUGCCCUUGUGCUUUCUUCUCAUGUUCUUUGUUCACUUAACAAAGAAACAAGCACUAGUGUUUGCAUUAACUAAGGGUUGUUCAAAGCAACUUUUAUUUCUUCAUACAACGAUUUGUAAGUGAAGAACUAUGACAUUAAAAGUGUUGUUCUCUUUAUGAAAGACUUAUCUAACAUGUUCUUCCAACGAUACAUUGUCAAUACGAAGAUUGCGAGGAUGAGACUACAUAGGUACAUAUACAAGCCAUUAAAGACAAUCUAUGUGAUUGUGGUACCAAGUCCGGAAACUAAAGCAUUCGGCUUUUUCUUUGUCAAGUUUUGGAUAGUGUUUGCAAAUAUAUUUGUAAAAUAAAUACAUAACGAAUAUAAAUUGAUUGAUUUUAAGCCAUUUGAUUCGGGUCUUUAAAUCUAAUAGCACCACCCACUAUUUUGGCAAAUUCCAUAUCCCUCAUCGGAAUUCGAGAGUUUUGGAGGAAACUCUUAGUAGGGUAUGGGAGACUCAUCAUUACUAAGCCCACCUCACAAUGAUAUGAUGUUGGCUAGCAUCAAUAAUAAUGAGAGAGUACGCUUACUCAUUUGCAUCUCUUGCAAGUACAAAUCUUAUUUGGCCUCUAGAGAAGGAAGCCUCACAAUGAUAUGAUUAUGGCUCCAUUGCACUUAGUUAAGUCAUUCCCACCGUGCAAAUUCGAGUAGGGGUUCAAGAACAUCCUCACAAUGAUAUGAUGUUGAUCAUUCUCGUUGCCUGCCUUCACAACAUCAUGUAUGCAUAUAGAACUCCUCCUGAGUGUAAGCACUCACUUUGUACUCCCCCAUAAUAUGGUGAAGUCGGUGUACGAGUCAUAAACAAUCGGAGCCUACCACGGUGGAAGGCCACGAAAGAGUGUUCAAAGCACUCUCACGCUUAUCAACUUAAUAAUGGUUUGGUUGAGGGUUUUAGGUCUCAUCACAUAUAAGCAUGCAUUUUAAUCUAAUUAAAAACAAUUUGGUCCUAUUACAACUAUUGGUCCAUGUGAUUGAUUUAGUUGUAUAUAAUACUCCCACUAUGCUUGUAAAACGGUUUUUUAAAGCAAGAGUAUAUGGUACUACUAACAUAAGGUUUGCAUUCAUUGAUGGACUAUAUAGUUGCCUUAGGGCCUUAGGAUGACUAUGAACCUUUGAUUCGGUCCAACACGAGCCUAGUGUUGAAUCUUGGUCUAGGGAUGGUGAUUGAUUUUAGUUACGCGUUUAAUCAUAUUAAGGUGUGUUUUUCCUAUUGGGCGUUGGACCCAACUACUCCAAUUUCAUGCAUAUCAAAUAAAACAAGAAAUGAGUACUUCAAAGUAAAGAAGAGCUUAUGCUCUUUUACAACAUUUGAUCAAAAUAAAUUACUUUAAAGUAAAGAAGAGCUUAUGCUCUUUUACAACAUUUGAUCAUAUCAAAUUACAACCAAAAUCUAAUCUACACAUUCCCAUGGUUCAAACAAAUUUGAGACGGCCUUUCACAUAGCUCUAUUAUCGUAGGCUUAGGUUCAUAAUCACCCUUUCUUUAAUUAAUUAACGCUUUAACUAAUUAAACUUGAAUGCAACAUUUUCAUUUGGUUUUGUUUCCAUAGAAUUGAUUUAAAUGGAGCUAAAUGAAAUGAAAAUCCAAUUCUCAUUUAAAGAUACAAAA
Molecule: long non-coding RNA, 16515 nt
Filed under: Malus domestica (apple)
Lineage: Eukaryota; Viridiplantae; Streptophyta; Magnoliopsida; Rosales; Rosaceae
Source: RNAcentral